This is a small nucleolar RNA of Silurus meridionalis, 177 nucleotides long. RefSeq annotates it as small nucleolar RNA SNORD97. The transcript has a single exon. NCBI's taxonomy places the organism in Eukaryota, Metazoa, Chordata, Actinopteri, Siluriformes, Siluridae. The record is from RefSeq and is a predicted model, not a curated record.
UGACCCAGUGAUGAGAAGAUGAUGCGCAUAGAGGGAAGCCCAGGAGUGGUGAGUGUGGUUUCUUCUCUCUCUCCUCUUUUGUCUUAUUUCUCUCUCUCUCUCUCUCUCUCUUUUCUCUAUAAGCCCCGCCCACUCUCCUGUCCCAAUGAGCGUGAAGAUUAUGAGAUCUGAGGGUCA